UCGAAGCAACGCGAAGAACCUUACCAAGUCUUGACAUCCCAUUGACAGAGCAUGUAAUGUGCUUUCCCUUCGGGGCAAUGGUGACAGGUGGUGCAUGGUUGUCGUCAGCUCGUGUCGUGAGAUGUUGGGUUAAGUCCCGCAACGAGCGCAACCCUUAUCUUCAGUAGCCAGCAGUAAGAUGGGCACUCUGGAGAGACUGCCAGGGAUAACCUGGAGGAAGGUGGGGAUGACGUCAAAUCAUCAUGCCCCUUAUGACUUGGGCCACACACGUGCUACAAUGGCGUAAACAAAGAGAAGCGAGAGGGUGACCUUAAGCAAAUCCCAAAAAUAACGUCUCAGUUCGGAUUGCAGGCUGCAACCCGCCUGCAUGAAGUCGGAAUUGCUAGUAAUCGCGGAUCAGCAUGCCGCGGUGAAUACGUUCCCGGGCCUUGUACACACCGCCCGUCACACCAUGAGAGUCGGGGACACCCGAAGCCUGUUGCCUAACCGCAAGGAGGGCGCAGUCGAAGGUGGAUUCGAUAAUUGGGGUG
This 530-nucleotide ribosomal RNA is filed under the name uncultured bacterium. RNAcentral's name for it is "bacterial SSU rRNA". It matches the Rfam family "Bacterial small subunit ribosomal RNA", at positions 951 to 1482 of the family's 1533-position model. The record is from RNAcentral.